This 83-nucleotide transfer RNA is filed under the name Methanosaeta sp. PtaU1.Bin060. RNAcentral describes it as "tRNA-Leu". It matches the Rfam family "tRNA". From Rfam's summary of the family: Transfer RNA (tRNA) molecules are approximately 80 nucleotides in length. Their secondary structure includes four short double-helical elements and three loops (D, anti-codon, and T loops). Further hydrogen bonds mediate the characteristic L-shaped molecular structure. tRNAs have two regions of fundamental functional importance: the anti-codon, which is responsible for specific mRNA codon recognition, and the 3' end, to which the tRNAs corresponding amino acid is attached (by aminoacyl-tRNA synthetases). tRNAs cope with the degeneracy of the genetic code in two manners: having more than one tRNA (with a specific anti-codon) for a particular amino acid; and 'wobble' base-pairing, i.e. permitting non-standard base-pairing at the 3rd anti-codon position. The record is from RNAcentral. Lineage: Archaea; Methanobacteriati; Methanobacteriota; Methanomicrobia; Methanotrichales; Methanotrichaceae.
GCGGGGGUUGCCAAGAGGCCAAAGGCGCAGGGCUUAGGACCCUGUCACGAAGGUGUUCCGGGGUUCGACUCCCCGCUCCCGCA